GACGAACGCUGGCGGCGUGCUUAACACAUGCAAGUCGAACGGUGAAGCCUUCGGGUGGAUCAGUGGCGAACGGGUGAGUAACACGUGAGCAAUCUGCCCUUGACUCUGGGAUAACUUCGGGAAACCGGAGCUAAUACCGGAUAUGACAUCUGGCCGCAUGGUCUGGGGUGUGGAAAGUAUUUAUCGGUCAAGGAUGAGCUCGCGGCCUAUCAGCUUGUGGUGGGGAAUGGCCCACCAAGGCGACGACGGGUAGCCGGCCUGAGAGGGCGACCGGCCACACUGGGACUGAGACACGGCCCAGACUCCUACGGGAGGCAGCAGUGGGGAAUAUUGCGCAAGUGGGCGGAAGCCUGACGCAGCGACGCCGCGUGAGGGAUGAAGGCC
RNAcentral lists this ribosomal RNA (384 nucleotides) under uncultured bacterium. Its description in RNAcentral is "bacterial SSU rRNA". It matches the Rfam family "Bacterial small subunit ribosomal RNA", at positions 28 to 416 of the family's 1533-position model. The record is from RNAcentral.